Molecule: non-coding RNA, 194 nt
Organism: Lonchura striata (white-rumped munia)
Lineage: Eukaryota; Metazoa; Chordata; Aves; Passeriformes; Estrildidae
Source: RefSeq, a predicted model, not a curated record
AGAAGAAAAUUUAAGAAGUGGGAGCCAGCAUUUUCAUGUGAUGGCAAUAUUCCAGAAACUGGUGCUCUAGGAUAAACAGUAAAUAAUGUGACAUCCAGUCACAUCUCCUCAGCCUGAAACCAAGCAUCCAAACCUGAGGGUAACAAAUACGAUAUUACCAGAGGUUCCAGGCCUUGGUCAGAAGCAUUCUAGAC